This 254-nucleotide ribosomal RNA is filed under the name uncultured bacterium. Its description in RNAcentral is "partial 16S ribosomal RNA". It matches the Rfam family "Bacterial small subunit ribosomal RNA", at positions 524 to 776 of the family's 1533-position model. The record is from RNAcentral.
UACGGGGGGAGCAAGCGUUGUUCGGAUUUACUGGGCGUAAAGGGCGCGUAGGCGGUCAGCACAAGUCAGUUGUGAAAUCUCCGAGCUUAACUCGGAAAGGUCAACUGAUACUGUGCGACUAGAGUGCGGAAGGGGCAACUGGAAUUCUUGGUGUAGCGGUGAAAUGCGUAGAUAUCGAGAGGAACACCUGCGGCGAAGGCGGGUUGCUGGGCUGAUACUGACGCUGAUGCGCGAAAGCCAGGGGAGCGAACGGG